This 319-nucleotide ribosomal RNA is filed under the name uncultured eukaryote. RNAcentral's name for it is "partial 18S ribosomal RNA". It matches the Rfam family "Eukaryotic small subunit ribosomal RNA", at positions 1470 to 1796 of the family's 1831-position model. The record is from RNAcentral.
CCCUUAGAUGUUCUGGGCAGCACGCGCGCUACAAUGGUCUUCGCAAACGGAUGCAUUCUCGAAGGAGAAUGCCAAUCUUGGAAUCUAUGCCUUGGUCGGGACAGUUGCUUGCAAUUUUUCGACUCGAACCAGGAAUUCCUUGUAAUCGUGAUUCAUCACAUCACGAUGAAUACGUCCCUGCCCUUUGUACACACCGCCCGUCGCUCCUACCGAGCGAAGAGUUAGGUGAAUUGUUUUGAUCGAUAAGAUUUGACUAUGGUCAACUCUCGUUGUGAAAUUCUGUGAAUCUGACUGUUUAGAGGAAGGAAAAGUCGUAACA